UACGGAGGGUGCGAACGUUAAUCGGAAUCACUGGGCGUAAAGCGCGCGUAGGCGGUCUGUUAAGUGGGAUGUGAAAUCCCCGGGCUUAACCUGGGAAUUGCAUUUCAAACUGGCCGACUAGAGUACGGUAGAGGGAGGUAGAAUUUCCUGUGUAGCGGUGAAAUGCGUAGAUAUAGGAAGGAACACCAGUGGCGAAGGCGACCACCUGGACUGAUACUGACACUGAGGUGCGAAAGCGUGGGGAGCAAACAGG
This 253-nucleotide ribosomal RNA is filed under the name uncultured bacterium. RNAcentral's name for it is "partial 16S ribosomal RNA". It matches the Rfam family "Bacterial small subunit ribosomal RNA", at positions 524 to 776 of the family's 1533-position model. The record is from RNAcentral.